This 253-nucleotide ribosomal RNA is filed under the name uncultured bacterium. RNAcentral describes it as "partial 16S ribosomal RNA". It matches the Rfam family "Bacterial small subunit ribosomal RNA", at positions 524 to 776 of the family's 1533-position model. The record is from RNAcentral.
UACGAAGGGGGCAAGCGUUGUUCGGAAUUACUGGGCGUAAAGCGCGUGUAGGCGGCAUGGCAAGUCGGGUGUGAAAGCCCUCAGCUCAACUGAGGAAGUGCGCCCGAAACUGCUUUGCUUGAGUGCUGGAGAGGGUCGCGGAAUUCCCCAAGUAGAGGUGAAAUUCGUAGAUAUGGGGAGGAACACCGGUGGCGAAGGCGGCGACCUGGACAGUAACUGACGCUGAGACGCGAAAGCGUGGGUAGCAAACAGG